UAACAUCGAUAGAAUUGUGGAUGUAACAUCUAAGUGAAAUCUAAGUUAAUGCGGUUUUGGCAUUAAGUAAGAUUUUGUGAUAGUUUUGAUACGCCAACUGUGUAAUUCGUUACAUGAUUUAGGCUAAUAAUUCGAUAUCGGUCAUUUCUUGAUAGGCUAAUUUAUAGGUUAGGCAUAGGCCUAUUUAACCUAGACUAAUUCGUAUUUCUGCCCUAGGCCCUACACUAAUUAAACAUGGAUACAAAGGCAUAAAAAGAACUGAUCAAAGUGUUGUGCCCAAGCACUUUUCAAGCCUACCAGUGGCUAAAACUCAACAGAAAUAGAUGCACAGGCUAGGCCUAGCCUAUAUGGGCCUGUGAUGAUUGAGCCAGUACCAGUACAAUGGGGGAGUUGUAAUUAAUAUCCUCCGACAUUGGAUGAUUCAGGGGAGAGGCUGAGGCGGAAGAAUAGGUAGAGGAACAGUAGAUGGGGAACGAGGCGAAGAAAAGACUACCUACUAGGUAGUGUAGAAGAGAAAUAUGGUCUGAUGAUGGGUGGAUGGCGAUGAGGGCAUGGAGGAUGAGAGAAAUGGGGCUGAUUAUGUUGAUUAGGUUAAUAUUUGUUUUGAACAUUAGUAUUCUUAUAUUUGAAUUUUGUAUCAUUAAGAUAAUUUUAUGUUUUUUAAUGAAGAUGUUUUUUUAGUUUUAAUAUCUACUUUGUUGUACUACUGCCUAGUUUUAUAAAUAAACUGUUUAUUGUGUUUGUUGAA
Long non-coding RNA from Macrosteles quadrilineatus (aster leafhopper), 748 nucleotides. RefSeq lists it as uncharacterized. The transcript has 3 exons. Lineage: Eukaryota; Metazoa; Arthropoda; Insecta; Hemiptera; Cicadellidae. The record is from RefSeq and is a predicted model, not a curated record.